Molecule: RNA transcript, 1046 nt
Organism: Nycticebus coucang (slow loris)
Lineage: Eukaryota; Metazoa; Chordata; Mammalia; Primates; Lorisidae
Gene name: telomeric repeat-binding factor 1-like
Exons: 1
Source: RefSeq, a predicted model, not a curated record
AUGGCGGAGGAUGCUGCUUCGGGUGCUCCGAGCCUCUGGGGCUGUGCUGACGGGAGCGAUGGUGGCAGAAAUGGAGGGAGAAGACCAGGAGCAGUUCGAGUGCCAGGAACUGCUCGAUUGCCAGGUGCACCUGGGGACCCCUGAGGAAAGGGAGGACGUGGCUGCCGGCUGGAUGCUCGAUUUCCUCUGCCUCUCUCUUUGCCGAGUCUUCCGUGACGGCCGCUCUGAGGACUUCCAAAGGACCCGCAACAGCGCGGAGGAUGCGCAGUUUGAAAGUGAUGAACGAAUUACCCUUCGAAUCAGCCCUGAUGAUUUGGGAUUCAGUUGAAACGGAACAUGACAAACUUCGUGAAGAAAUACAGAAUUUAAUUAAAAUACAGGCUAUAGGCGUUUGUAUGGAAAAUGUCAAUUUUAAGGAAGCAGAAGAAGUCUUUGAAAGAAUAUUUGAUGACCCAAAUUCUUACACGCCUUUACAGAGGAAAUUGCGUAUGAUAAUCUCUCGGAAAGAUACAUUCCAUUCCAUUUUUCAACACUUCAGCUUCAAUCACAUGAUGGAAAAAAUUAAGACUUACGUGAAUGACGUGCUAAAUGAAAAGUCAUCAACCUUUCUCAUGAAGUGUGAAUGACAAACAGUCUACAGUAACUGAAUCCUCAGGGGGUACAGUAUCCUUAUCGGGGUCUCACAAGAAUCUCUUCUUAUCUAAGUUGAAGUAUGGAAGCCAGCAACAAGACCUUAAUAAGAAAAAAGAAAGAGUAGGAACUCUUCAUUGUAAAAGAAAGAUAAGAGAGAGAAGAGCAACUGAAAGCAAGAUAUCACAUGUUUCAAAGAGUCAAGCAGUAACUCCUGAGAAACAUCAAUCUAGAAAAAAACAGGCAUGGCUUUGGAAAGAAGACAAGAAUUUUGAGAUCUGGGGUGAAGAAAUAUGGAAAGGGAAAGUGGUCUAAAAUACUAUUAUAAAUUCAAAAAUAGCACAGGCGUUAUGUUAAAAGACAGAUGGGGGACUAUGAAGAAACUAAAACUGAUUAGCUCGGACAGUGAAGACUGA